GAUGAACGCUGGCGGCGUGCCUAAUACAUGCAAGUCGAGCGAACGGACGAGAACCUUCCUUCUCUGAUGUUUGCGGCGGGCGGGUGUGUAACACGUGGAUAACCUCCCUAUAAGACUGGGAUAACUUCGGGAAACCGGAGCUAAUACCGUAUAAUAUUUUGAUCCGCAUGGUUCAAUAGUGAAAUACAGUCUUGCCGUCACUUAUAGAUGGUUCCGCGUUGCAUUAGCUAGUUGGUAAGGUAGCGGCUUACGAAGGCAACGAUGAAUAGCCGACCUGAGAGGGUGUCCGGCAACCCUGGAACGGGACCACGGUCAGGACUCCUAGGGAAGGCGGCAGUAGGGAAUCUUCCGCAAUGGGCGAAGGCCUGACGGGGCAACGCCGCGUGGGUGAUGAAGGUCUCCGGAUCGUAAGACUCUGUUAUUAGGGAGGAAGAGAUGUGUAAGUGACUGUGCACAUCUUGACGGUACCUAAUCAGAAAGCCACGGCUAACUACGUG
Molecule: ribosomal RNA, 497 nt
Filed under: uncultured bacterium
Lineage: Bacteria
Description: partial 16S ribosomal RNA
Rfam family: Bacterial small subunit ribosomal RNA
Source: RNAcentral